ACCAGCUGAAAGUUUCUAGACGAAGGGCAUAUACCAGUUAAACUCCGCCAUUUUGCCUCUCAGUGUUCAAGCUUGAGCCCACGCAUCCAACUCCUGAGAUCUUACUGGGAAGCUGCUGAUCAUCAGUUUCAGGUAAGACGGGUUGAAGAUCCGAGAGGCUGAGUCACUUCCACAAAGUAACACAGCUGAUUUUAAAUGCCUGCAUUCAGCAUCCCUGCAGCAGGCUCCAGGUGGAAUUCUAAUGGGACCAGCCUCCAGUCCCUGGACCUUAGCCGUGGAAGGAGAGAAGAGGACAUCUGCACCUCCUCUCAGAGAAAGCCUGAUGCCUACUAAAGGACUUGGGUGGUGGACGCAGUGACCCUCAGUCUGGAGCUUGUUCACUGAACAUUGGAGACUAUCAUUUGCGCAGAUGGUCUUGGGCCUCUAUGAGCAGCAGGCUGCACCCCACAGUGACCUCCUCAUUCUACUCUGAGGCAUCUUCAUGAAAGCAGAUGUCCAUUGAAAAGCACCCAAGUGCAGUCUCAGCUGAUGAACUUCAGAGGCGAUUGAGACAAAGGCUCUCGGUCCCCUCUGCCCUUGGAUGGUGCCUCUGGUAUGCACUUGGCCUCUGUGUCUUUAUUUAGACUGGUCACUUCACAACCCAUCAUGUCACCCCACCCCUAACCGUGCCCACUCUGGGUCCUCCCCUCAACUGCCUGACUUCCCACUUUGAGCUCAGCAAAGGCA
Molecule: long non-coding RNA, 726 nt
Filed under: Homo sapiens (human)
Lineage: Eukaryota; Metazoa; Chordata; Mammalia; Primates; Hominidae
Description: HSALNT0378875
Source: RNAcentral